AGGAUUAACGCUGGCGGCGUGCCUAACACAUGCAAGUCAAACGGGGUAGCAAUACCUAGUGGCAGACGGGUGAGUAACGCGUGGUCAACUUACCGUAAAGUGGGGGAUAACUAGCCGAAAGGUUAGCUAAUACCGCAUGAAACAUAACCGGGCAUCCGGUAAUGUUAAAAGGAGCAAUCCGCUUUUCGAUGGGACCGCGUCCGAUUAGCUAGUUGGUGGGGUAAUGGCCUACCAAGGCGCCGAUCGGUAGCUGGUUUGAGAGAGCGACCAGCCACACUGGGACUGAGAAACGGCCCAGACUCCUACGGGAGGCAGCAGUGAGGAAUUUUCCGCAAUGGGCGAAAGCCUGACGGAGCGACGCCGCGUGUGGGAAGAAGGCCUUCGGGUCGUAAACCGCUGUCGAAGGGGACUAUAAUGAAGGUACCCUUGGAGGAAGCCCCGGCUAACUACGUGCCAGCAGCCGC
This 464-nucleotide ribosomal RNA is filed under the name uncultured bacterium. RNAcentral's name for it is "SSU rRNA". It matches the Rfam family "Bacterial small subunit ribosomal RNA", at positions 26 to 518 of the family's 1533-position model. The record is from RNAcentral.